AUCGCUUCUCGGCCUUUUGGCUAAGAUCAAGUGUAGUAUCUGUUCUUAUCAGUUUAAUAUCUGAUACGUCCUCUAUCCGAGGACAAUAUAUUAAAUGGAUUUUUGGAGCAGGGAGAUGGAAUAACACUUUACAAAAGAAGACAUACAUGAGGCCAACAAAC
RNAcentral lists this small nuclear RNA (161 nucleotides) under Cebus imitator (Panamanian white-faced capuchin). RNAcentral's name for it is "U2 spliceosomal RNA (ENSCCAG00000014156.1)". The stretch from base 1 to 130 matches the Rfam family "U2 spliceosomal RNA". From Rfam's summary of the family: U2 is a small nuclear RNA (snRNA) component of the spliceosome (involved in pre-mRNA splicing). Complementary binding between U2 snRNA (in an area lying towards the 5' end but 3' to hairpin I) and the branchpoint sequence (BPS) of the intron results the bulging out of an unpaired adenosine, on the BPS, which initiates a nucleophilic attack at the intronic 5' splice site, thus starting the first of two transesterification reactions that mediate splicing. The record is from RNAcentral. Lineage: Eukaryota; Metazoa; Chordata; Mammalia; Primates; Cebidae.